AACGCACAUUGCGCCCCUUGGUAUUCCGAGGGGCAUGCCUGUUCGAGCGUCAUUUCAAACCUCAAGCUCACGCUUGGUGUUGGGCGUCGUCCGCUAGGACGUGCCCGAAACCCGUAGGCAGUGGUGCCCGCCUCCCAGCGUAGUCAAGUUACCCGCUCCGGAGCGCGUGGUGCCGCCCGCCAGACGAACAACCCAUUAUCUUCUAUGGUUUGACCUCGGAUCAGGUAGGGAUACCCGCUGAACUUAA
This 247-nucleotide unclassified non-coding RNA is filed under the name uncultured fungus. Its description in RNAcentral is "partial contains 5.8S ribosomal RNA, internal transcribed spacer 2, and large subunit ribosomal RNA". The stretch from base 1 to 52 matches the Rfam family "5.8S ribosomal RNA", at positions 103 to 154 of the family's 154-position model. The record is from RNAcentral. Lineage: Eukaryota; Fungi.